Long non-coding RNA from Dioscorea cayenensis subsp. rotundata (Guinea yam), 265 nucleotides. RefSeq lists it as uncharacterized. The transcript has 3 exons. The record is from RefSeq and is a predicted model, not a curated record. NCBI's taxonomy places the organism in Eukaryota, Viridiplantae, Streptophyta, Magnoliopsida, Dioscoreales, Dioscoreaceae.
AAAAAUCUUUCCGGCAGAAUUUCCGGCGAACUUCAAUACCAAACUUAUUCCUCUCUCACUCCCGAAUCCGGUGGCGAAGCGUCCUCUAAGGGGAAGAAGCUCGCCGAUCACUGAGUGCGUCUCAGGACGAGACGACUGGUUCUGUUUUAGUGGUUUGGGUCGUCAUAGCGAGGCGAAGUGUUAGCAGUUUGCAUUCCAAGUCAGGUUGUUUAUUUAUUGUUAAUCAGGUUGCAUUGUAUGAUUGCAGUGGAUCCACUAGUGUUCU